Molecule: ribosomal RNA, 418 nt
Filed under: Acanthamoeba sp. OSU # 03-047
Lineage: Eukaryota; Discosea; Longamoebia; Acanthamoebidae
Description: SSU rRNA
Rfam family: Eukaryotic small subunit ribosomal RNA
Source: RNAcentral
AAAAUUAGAGUGUUCAAAGCAGGCAGAUCCAAUUUUCUGCCACCGAAUACAUUAGCAUGGGAUAAUGGAAUAGGACCCUGUCCUCCUAUUUUAGUUGGUUUUGGCAGCGCGAGGACUAGGGUAAUGAUUAAUAGGGAUAGUUGGGGGCAUUAAUAUUUAAUUGUCAGAGGUGAAAUUCUUGGAUUUAUGAAAGAUUAACUUCUGCGAAAGCAUCUGCCAAGGAUGUUUUCAUUAAUCAAGAACGAAAGUUAGGGGAUCGAAGACAGAUCAGAUACGGUGUAGUCUUAACCAUAAACGAUGCCGACCAGCGACUAGGAGACGUUGAAUACAAAACACCACCAUCGGUGCGGUCGUCCUUGGCGCGUUGGUCUUCAAAAGCCAGCGCGCGGGGGCGGCUUAGCCCGGUGGCACCGGUGAA